GCACUGCCUUGGAACCUCUGCAGUGCCGGGCCCAUGGCCUCCGGGGUCUGGUGGCAGUGCCAGAACAAACCCAGCUUGUUCAGAUCCCGGGCUGCUUGGAUGCCCCCUAAGCGAUUCCUUUGGCAUCAAGUGACAUUU
Small nucleolar RNA from Diceros bicornis minor, 138 nucleotides. Lineage: Eukaryota; Metazoa; Chordata; Mammalia; Perissodactyla; Rhinocerotidae. The record is from RefSeq and is a predicted model, not a curated record.